This 621-nucleotide long non-coding RNA is filed under the name Pan troglodytes (chimpanzee). RNAcentral describes it as "long non-coding RNA NONPTRT013752". Lineage: Eukaryota; Metazoa; Chordata; Mammalia; Primates; Hominidae. The record is from RNAcentral.
CCGACCUCCUCCAUGGCUAGGGGUUGGAGCGCCCCAGCUGCUGCCUCCCUGGUAGCUUUCAUUAAAGGACUUUGCUUUUUUGGUAAAUAAGGGCCCCAUUUUUCUACCUUAGUCUUUGAAAAUCAACCUGAGAAACACUUUGUGUGUCUACAUCUCUUAGGAAGAAGAGAAUAAUGAGAUGAUGUAUGCAGAGCACUGGCAGAAAGCCUAGCAUAGAGGAAUCUGAGGAUUCGCCAUGCAUGCUUCCUGGUAUAUAGUACUAGUUCUUGUCAAUGGCACAGAGACUUGAAGACUGUAUAUAAAUGGACACACCUACUAGAAUGAAUGGAAACCCACACUGCUGUUGUGAAGACACCUGAUGAAACUCCAGCAACUUCUACAUCUGGCCUGCUGCUUAGUCCUGGGACCUGAGGUCAAAAUCUUAGAAAAGAGCCAUGUGAGAUGCAUUCCCUGGCCUCAUCUCUGUUCUUGGAUGCUGUCAGCAACACUCCUUGAGUUUUUACCCACAUAAUAACACUUUCCUCAGCAUGGAUGUGGAGGUGGGGGUGAGGAAUGUUCUAUUUUUCCUUCGAUGGUUACGCCCUCACCCUACCAACUCAGUAAAAGGGGAGUGGUCAGGGG